AGAGUUUGAUCCUGGCUCAGAACGAACGUUGGCGGCGUGGAUGAGGCAUGCAAGUCGAACGUGAAAGCUUCCUUCGGGGAGUGAGUAAAGUGGCGAACGGGUGAGUAACACGUAAUCGAGCUACCCUCGAGACUGGGAUAACCGCGGGAAACUGCGGUUAAUACCGGAUAGUCACCGAGUGCUGCAUGGCACUUUGUGUAAAGGUUGGGAUCCUCCGGGACCUUCCGCUCGUGGAGGCGAUUGCGGCCUAUCAGCUUGUUGGCGGGGUAACGGCCCACCAAGGCGACGACGGGUAGCAGGCCUGAGAGGGUGGUCUGUCACACUGGGACUGAGACACUGCCCAGACUCCUACGGGAGGCUGCAGUCGAGAAUCUUCCGCAAUGGGCGCAAGCCUGACGGAGCGACGCCGCGUGGAGGACGAAGGCCCUUGGGUUGUAAACUCCUGUCACGGGUUAUGAAUGGAGUACGGUUAAUAGCCGUGCUAUUGACGUAUGCCCGAGAGGAAGCACCGGCUAACUCUGUGCCAGCAGCCGCGGUAAUACAGAAGGGUGCAAAC
This 556-nucleotide ribosomal RNA is filed under the name uncultured bacterium. RNAcentral describes it as "SSU rRNA". It matches the Rfam family "Bacterial small subunit ribosomal RNA", at positions 8 to 539 of the family's 1533-position model. The record is from RNAcentral.